This 459-nucleotide ribosomal RNA is filed under the name uncultured bacterium. RNAcentral describes it as "partial 16S ribosomal RNA". It matches the Rfam family "Bacterial small subunit ribosomal RNA", at positions 338 to 795 of the family's 1533-position model. The record is from RNAcentral.
CCUACGGGAGGCAGCAGUGAGGAAUAUUGGUCAAUGGACGGAAGUCUGAACCAGCCAUGCCGCGUGCAGGAAGACGGCUCUAUGAGUUGUAAACUGCCUUUGUACAAGGGUAAACCUGAAUACGUGUAUUCAGCUGAAAGUACUGUACGAAUAAGGACCGGCUAACUCCGUGCCAGCAGCCGCGGUAAAUCGGAGGAUCCAAGCGUUAUCCGGAUUGAUUGGGUUUAAAGGGUGCGUAGGCGGAUUGAUAAGUUAGAGGUAAAAUGUCCGAGCUUAACUCGGGAACUGCCUCUACUACUGUUGAUCUAGAGAGUAGAUGCGGUAGGCGGAAUGUAUGGUGUAGCGGUGAAAUGCUUAGAGAUCAUACAGAACACCGAUUGCGAAGGCAGCUUACCAAUCUAUAUCUGACGUUGAGGCACGAAGCGUGGGGAGCAAACAGGAUUAGAUACCCGGGUAGUC